UGUGGGAGCGAGCCUGCUCGCGAUGGGGCUUCACAUUCAACACAUAAGUUGACUGGUAGGCCGUCAUCGCGAGCAGGCUCGCUCCCACA
This 89-nucleotide unclassified non-coding RNA is filed under the name Pseudomonas thivervalensis. Lineage: Bacteria; Pseudomonadati; Pseudomonadota; Gammaproteobacteria; Pseudomonadales; Pseudomonadaceae. The record is from RNAcentral.